Molecule: ribosomal RNA, 164 nt
Filed under: uncultured bacterium
Lineage: Bacteria
Description: partial 16S rRNA
Rfam family: Bacterial small subunit ribosomal RNA
Source: RNAcentral
UAGGGAAUCUUCCACAAUGGGCGAAGGCCUGAUGGAGCAACGCCGCGUGUGUGAUGAAGGGUUUCGGCUCGUAAAACACUGUUGUAAGAGAAGAAUGACAUUGAGAGUAACUGUUCAAUGUGUGACGGUAUCUUACCAGAAAGGAACGGCUAAAUACGUGCCAC